RNAcentral lists this ribosomal RNA (473 nucleotides) under uncultured Bacteroidota bacterium. Its description in RNAcentral is "SSU rRNA". It matches the Rfam family "Bacterial small subunit ribosomal RNA", at positions 442 to 915 of the family's 1533-position model. Lineage: Bacteria; Pseudomonadati; Bacteroidota. The record is from RNAcentral.
GGGAAUAAAAAGUGGGAUUCAUUCCUGCCUUGAAGGUACCAGGGGAAUAAGCACCGGCUAACUCCGUGCCAGCAGCCGCGGUAAUACGGAGGGUGCAAGCGUUAUCCGGAUUCACUGGGUUUAAAGGGUGCGUAGGUGGCUUUGUAAGUCAGUGGUGAAAUAUUACGGCUCAACCGUAAAACUGCCAUUGAUACUGCUUAGCUUGAAUCAGGUCGAGGUGGAUGGAAUAUUACAUGUAGCGGUGAAAUGCUUAGAUAUGUAAUAGAACACCGAUUGCGAAGGCAGUUCACUAGGCCUGAAUUGACACUGAGGCACGAAAGCGUGGGGAUCAAACAGGAUUAGAUACCCUGGUAGUCCACGCCCUAAACGAUGUAAACUCGACGUUAGCGAUACACUGUUAGCGUCCAAGCGAAAGCGUUAAGUUUACCACCUGGGAAGUACGACCGCAAGGUUGAAACUCAAAGGAAUUGACG